ACGAACGCUGGCGGCGCGCCUAACACAUGCAAGUCGAACGAGCGAGAGAGAGCUUGCUUUCUCAAGCGAGUGGCGAACGGGUGAGUAACGCGUGAGGAACCUGCCUCAAAGAGGGGGACAACAGUUGGAAACGACUGCUAAUACCGCAUAAGCCCACGGCUCGGCAUCGAGCAGAGGGAAAAGGAGCAAUCCGCUUUGAGAUGGCCUCGCGUCCGAUUAGCUAGUUGGUGAGGUAACGGCCCACCAAGGCGACGAUCGGUAGCCGGACUGAGAGGUUGAACGGCCACAUUGGGACUGAGACACGGCCCAGACUCCUACGGGAGGCAGCAGUGGGGAAUAUUGCACAAUGGGGGAAACCCUGAUGCAGCGACGCCGCGUGGAGGAAGAAGGUCUUCGGAUUGUAAACUCCUGUUGUUGAGGAAGAUAAUGACGGUACUCAACAAGGAAGUGACGGCUAACUACGUGCCAGCAGCCGCGGUAAAACGUAGGUCACAAGCGUUGUCCGGAAUUACUGGGUGUAAAGGGAGCGCAGGCGGGAAGACAAGUUGGAAGUGAAAUCCAUGGGCUCAACCCAUGAACUGCUUUCAAAACUGUUUUUCUUGAGUAGUGCAGAGGUAGGCGGAAUUCCCGGUGUAGCGGUGGAAUGCGUAGAUAUCGGGAGGAACACCAGUGGCGAAGGCGGCCUACUGGGCACCAACUGACGCUGAGGCUCGAAAGUGUGGGUAGCAAACAGG
This 734-nucleotide ribosomal RNA is filed under the name uncultured Lachnospiraceae bacterium. RNAcentral describes it as "bacterial SSU rRNA". It matches the Rfam family "Bacterial small subunit ribosomal RNA", at positions 29 to 776 of the family's 1533-position model. Lineage: Bacteria; Bacillati; Bacillota; Clostridia; Lachnospirales; Lachnospiraceae. The record is from RNAcentral.